This 329-nucleotide ribosomal RNA is filed under the name uncultured eukaryote. RNAcentral describes it as "partial 18S ribosomal RNA". It matches the Rfam family "Eukaryotic small subunit ribosomal RNA", at positions 1470 to 1796 of the family's 1831-position model. The record is from RNAcentral.
CCCUUAGAUGUCCUGGGCCGCACGCGCGCUACACUGAGUGUCUGAGAUACGAGUCUGCCUGGUCCGGCAAGGUCUAGGUAAUCGCUAAAAGACACAUCAUGCUUGGGAUAGAUUAUUGCAAAUAUUAAUCUUGAACGAGGAAUUCCUAGUAAGCGCAAGUCAACAGCUUGCGUUGAUUACGUCCCUGCCCUUUGUACACACCGCCCGUCGCUACUACUGAUUGGAUGUUUAAGCUAGGUUCUCGAACUGCUAGCGACUUAGCUUCGGUGAGGUCGCAGUGUGGGAAGUGAACCUAGCUUUGGUGUCUAGAGGAAGUAAAAGUCGUAACA